AUACUCUGGUUUCUCUUCAGAGCCUAUAAAUCUUUCACCUUUUACUAAAGAUUUCUGUGGAAAGAAACAGCUCUGAAUCAUAGCCCAAUUUUUUAAAAUAUUUAUUUAUGUAUA
This is a small nuclear RNA of Arvicola amphibius (Eurasian water vole), 114 nucleotides long. RefSeq annotates it as U5 spliceosomal RNA. The record is from RefSeq and is a predicted model, not a curated record. The transcript has a single exon. NCBI's taxonomy places the organism in Eukaryota, Metazoa, Chordata, Mammalia, Rodentia, Cricetidae.